This is a long non-coding RNA of Gopherus flavomarginatus (Mexican gopher tortoise), 1003 nucleotides long. RefSeq lists it as uncharacterized. Lineage: Eukaryota; Metazoa; Chordata; Testudines; Testudinidae. The transcript is spliced from 4 exons. The record is from RefSeq and is a predicted model, not a curated record.
GUGUUGAUUUCGCUACUCUAAGCCAGAUUCUGUCUGAUGCACCAGCCCGGGGAGGCGGCCUUUGCUUUGCUCCCGCCAGCUGAUCAGCGAGGCUAAAUCUCUUUCGCCUCUUCGGUCUUUUACUUCUCAGGUCCAGCAAGCAGGAGCGAGCAACAUGUGCUGGAGACCUGGCCUGGUAGCGCAAGGCCAGGCGCGGCCCCAGGAGAGAACCAGCAGGAAGCACCGCUGCUCUAGUUAUGAACCCACUGUGUCCAUUGCCCCUCGUGGAGGAGGCAGCGGUCCAUGGCAGCAAGGUGGAGCAGCAUGAGCCUGGGUGACCUGGCUCACUGAGAGAAAGGUGACAUGGUGACCUGAAGCAGACUUGGAAAGAGAGGCCACUGCCCUGGUUAACAAGCCACUUGUGAGCCAUUAAUAGGAGAGAGUGGGACUAUUACGUUGUCCGUAGACGUAGACUUGAGGAUCUUCUUAAGGUGAAGGAGUUGUCAAUGUCAGCAGGAAGCAGAAGUUGCACUGUGAAGUAGCAGAAAGUUCUCCUGUUACUAUUGCAAACAUUCACCAAAGUGACAGUAAAAUAUCCCAAGUCUAAGCUGUUGUGUCCACAUUGCUCUGCAAUGACUUCAUGGUCAAGCUUCCCUCUUUCUGUGUGGAGUAAGAAAUACUGCAUGUCCUGCCUCCUUAACAGAUGCCUAGGGGCUUUAUCCGCUCCACCGAUACUGACUUGGACUCCUUAUUCAUUCCAUGGGUGGUGAACCCGAGCCUACUUAUUUACUGAUACUUUAAAAAACCCUUGCACCCCAAUCUGGGUCUGUGCUGGUUAUGAGAUGUAUGUAUUUUUUUCAUCCUUGCAAACGGUAUCUGUAACCCCCACCCAUAACCCAAGCCUGACCCCAGAUGUACAAUACCUUCCCUCUCAGCCUGUGUGUAUUUCAUUUCAAACAUUUCCUUUAAUAAAAUGUAUUGCCUCAAAACUCAUGAGCCAUUUCGUUGGAAGGGAUUGACCAUC